Molecule: long non-coding RNA, 6562 nt
Filed under: Sus scrofa (pig)
Lineage: Eukaryota; Metazoa; Chordata; Mammalia; Artiodactyla; Suidae
Description: lncRNA (ENSSSCG00030015979.1)
Source: RNAcentral
UUUUUUCUUUUUUUUUUUCUUUUUCAGGGCCAUACCUGCGGCAUAUGGAAGUUCCCAGGCUAGGGUUUGAAUCAGAGCUACAGCUGCUGGCCACAGCCACAGCAGCACCAGAUCCAAGCCACGUUUAUGACCUAUGCCACAGUUUGCAGCAAUGCUGGAUCCUUAACCCACUGAGUGAGGCCAGGGAUUGAACCCUCAUCCUCAUGGAUACUAGUUGGGUUCAUAAACUGCUGAGGCACAACAGGAACUCCCUAUCUGAGGAUUUAAUGAACCAGGUGUGUGUGGUCUCUGGUUCAUGGUAUUUAAAUGAAUAAUAAUUAUAAUAGUAAUAAAGAGGAGGGAGUGGAGGGGAGGAGGGGGAGCAGGCAGGAGGAGGAGGAAUAGUUGUAAUAGUAUUAGUAUUGCCACUAUUGUUACGUAUGUUCUAGAUCUGUUACUUACUUUUUAGAUAUGUGUCCACUGGCAGAACCUUUCACUUUUUUUUUUUGAGCUUUCAUUCACUUAAUGUAUAAAAUGGAAAUAAUGAGAGCUGCCUUAUGUAACUCAACAAAUUAAUUCAAGAAGUAGUUACACUUGAUAGGUGUGUGCCAGGCACUAAGGCAAUAGAGAUGAAUAAGACAUGAUUCCUGCCCUCAAGGAGUUUCAGUCUAGUGAGGAAGGCAGACAAGCAAACAGAGAAUGUUCAUACAGGAUGAAGCCUCCAUAAAAGGCCCAUGACGGGCUGGGUGUGGAUGCCCAUAGCGGGGAAUCCUUAUCUACUAGGUGUCAGGGAAGCUUUCUUGAAUCAGAGUUAGCCACAAAAGUGUUUUUCGCAGAGGGAAUAGGUAUCCAAAGGCUGAAAAGGCAAGAAAGAGUUGGUGAUUUAGCGAAUAAUAAUUUAAUCUGAUGAGAAGAGAGAAUCCAAGGAAGAGAGAGAUGCAAUAAAUUCUAAGAAGGUAAACAGGUGCCAGGUCAGAGGAGUCUCUUAAACCAUAUGAUGGAGCUUGGCCACUAUCAUGAAGUAGCCUGAACACAAAGCAGGUAUUAGAAACCAGUAUUAAAAUCUAAGUGAAAAUCCACUUUAAUUAUAAAGUUCCAUUCAAAUGUCGUCACUAUCAUUGGGUAUCUAUGUCUCCAGUGUGAGCUGUUGUGCCCUAGGUCAUUGCUAAUGGAACUGCCAGUCUGUCUUCUCCAAAAUUCGUGUGUUGAAAUCCUAACUCCAAGGUGAUGGUAUGUGGAGGUGGGGACUUUGGGAGGUGAUUAAGUCAUGAGGAUGGAACUUCUGUAUGGCAUUGGUGCCCUUAUAAAAGAGACCUCAGAGAGCUCCCCUUCUCCUUUUACUAUGUGAGGACACAGAGAGAAGACGGCAAGAAGUGAGCUCUCACCAAAUACCACAUCUGUCGAUGCCCUGAUCCUGGACUUUCCUCCCUCCAGAACUGAGAAAUACAUUUCUGUUGUUGAUAAUACAACCAGUCUCUGGUAUUUAGUUACAACAGGCUAAGAACAUAGCUCAUCUCAUUUUCUCCACCUCCCUAAUAUCGCACACAACACACACACACCCCAUAUAGGGAAAAAUAAUAAUACAUCAUAUGGUUGUUUGAAAUUGAAGUGUGAAGUCCUAUGCCUGCUCGCGGCCUGCAAGAAGCUCAGGAGGCCAACCAAAUGAACUAUCCUAGCUUUGUGGCAAUAGCUGCUGUCCAUGGUUCUAUUUUACUAAUUUUAUGUCCUCAGAAAUCAAGAGCUCCCAGAGAGGGGCUGGUCCCCCGACCCCAGGUUGCUUUCACUUGCUGUCAAACAGGGUUGCCCAGAGCACUGAAUGUGUUUUGCCUGAGGGAUGGAAGAUAAAGUCAAACCUAAACAGAGACCAUACUGCUUGCCCUCAGAUGUUUCUCUGUGCAGUGGUUGGGUCAAAUCUCUCAAAACUCCACAAGAAAAUGGAACCACUGAAGUUCCUAGAUGAAUAUUAAUGGUGCCAAUUUUUUUAAAUAUAAGCGUACCUUUAGAACUUUUGUUGUCCACCAUUCAUAACUGUUGCUGUCAGAUGGGCAGGCAGCCUCAAAGCCCUUGAGAAGCACUAAGUAAUCAUUUAUAUCGCCACUAAUAUGUUACAAAAGGCUUGAACAUUUAGUUAAAAAGUAAAAAUGAGGAAUCUGGGGAGGUGCCAGAGAAGUAAACUGGGAAGAAGUCCAUGGCAGAAGAAAGGAGACUUUGAUGCAUGCCAGGGGAGACAUAUAGAUGUACCAUUUUUAAUUGCUCUUUGGGUUGAAAAAUGAAAGUUUCUGCAACUGAGCCCUUUCAGAAGAAUUAUGUGAGGAAAGCUAUAAAGAUUUCCCAUACACAAGAAAAUAAAAUAUGCUCCUAACAAAGCUUCAAAAAGCAAAAUAUUGGAAGUUCCCUUCGUAGCUCAGCAGUUAACAAACCCAACUAGGAUCUAUAAGGAUGCAGGUUCAAUCCCUGGACUCACUCAGUGGGUUGGGGAUCUGGUGUUGCUGUGAGCUGUGGUGUAGGGAGGGUCGUGGAUGCGGCUGGGAUCCCAAGUUGCUGUGGCUGUGGCAUAGGCCAGCAGUUGUAGCUCCAAUUGGACCCCUAGCCUGGGAACUUCCAUAUGCCAUGGGUGUGGCUCUGAAAAAAAAAAAGGAAAGUAUUAUAAGAUGGGCAGCCCAUUAUUUGAGAUCACAGAGGCUUUCUAUUCUGGAAGGAGGAAGAGCUGGAGAACUUGCCUAGUUAAUCUUGGAAGAGAGACUGUUAAUCUUAUAAGUUAGUUCUGUAGACUUUGAUAAUCACAGUUACUUAGCUGACUUCGUUUUAAAUACCCAUCUUCCUGGAGUUCCUCAGGCUAUAGAAUAAUAUAAAUUAAUAACAAUCGUUACAUAUUUCUUGAAACUAACUUAUUAGGUUUUAGCAUCAUUGGAAUGAUUAUUAAUUAUUCGGUAAUAAUAUAGUUCGAAUUUACUGAAAAUAAUUUAUUGAAAUUAAUUAUAGAAGGUAGUCUUAAAUAAGCAAAAAAAAAAAUGAAUGAGACUAUAAAAAUCAAACUGAAAUAUUCUACAUCAGAUUCACACAUCCAUAGGAACACAGGCCCAAGGAAACCAGCUGUAAAUACAUGUGUUCUUAUAGAAAACUCCACUACCUAUAGGGUCGCCUUAGGGAGUGGCAGUAGGAAUAAGGGGUUGUUAGAGAAAUGCCUUUGCCAAAAAUUCCUAGCAUGAUCAGUGUCUCUGCAAGUAAUUGAUCAAAUGCCUUGGCAUCACUUCAAAUUAAUGAGUUUCUGCCUUAAAAAUCUUAAUUUCUGAUUUAUAAAUCUUUUCUGUCGAAUAUUUUCAGAAGGGAGUUCCCGUCGUGGCUCAGCGGCUUAAGAACCCAACUAGUAUCCGUGAGGAUGUGGUUUCUAUCCCUGGCCUCGCUCAGUGGGUUAAGAAAGCAGCACUGCUGGGAGCUGUGGUGUGGGUCACAGACACCACUGGGAUCUCAAGUUGCCGUGGCUGUGGUGUGGGCCGGCAGCUGCAUCUCUGAUUCAACCCCUAGCCUGGAAACUUCCAUAUGCCGCAGUUGUGGCCCUAAAAAGACAAUAAGACCAAAAGAAAAAACCAGAAUGUAAAGAGUAGAGGAAACCCAAAUGAUGAGCCAGCCAAAUUCUCCACUUUACAGAUGGAGAAGCUGCAGUCCCUUUAGAGAAGAAACUUGCCCAAAUCAGACAACUAGCCACUUAAAAGGGAAGGUGAUGGUAACAUCAAAAGAAUAAUAAAUUAUGAAAAACUUCAGGCCCUCCAAUCUGAUAACUUAGAGGAAAUGCAUCUCUUGUGUUUUAUUUUGUUUUGGCACUGCCUUUGUUUUUUCUAUAAAGGUAAGACUAUGUUUAUAAAAUAAAUCGAGAAGUUCCCAUUGUGGCUUAGCAGAAACAAAUCUGACUAGCAUCCGUGAGGACGCAGGACAAUCCUGGCCUCACUUAGUGAGUUAAGGAUCAUGUGUUGCCUUGAGCUGUGGUGUAGGUCUCAGAUGCAGCUCAGAUCUGGUGUUGCUGUGGCUGUGGCGUAAGCUGACAGCUAUAGCUCCCAUUCGACUCCUAGCCUGGGAACCUCCAUAUGCCGUGGUCGCAGCCAUAAAAAAAAUAAAAUAAAAUAAACUGAGGUGUUUCCUCCUAAAAGAAGAAGGAGGUGGAAGAGGAAGAAGGGGAAGAAGAAGGAGGAAAGGAAGAAGAGAAAGAAGAAGAGGAGGAAGAAGAGGAGCAGGAGGAGGAAAAGAAGAAGCAGAGGAGGAAGAAGAAAGAAGAGAAAAGAAAGGAAAACAGAGAAAGCUGUUUGAAGCUUCUGAUGCUUGAGACUUCUCUAUUUCCACUCUGAAAGAAGCUACAUAAUUUCCUAUAGAGUAACCUCUAUCUCAACUCCUGUCAGUUUUGGGAUUGUAUCAUUUCCUAUGGGCUCUGUUGCUGUUAUUAUUUAAUUCCUUAAAUUGACCUGAACUCAAGAUCUUCGUUGCAGUGAUUUAUUUUAAAAGUUUCACUGGGCAGUUUGUUGAAAGACUGAGCCAUUUUCUCAUCACAGUAUCACCCUUGAUCUAAGCUGUUUUUCACAUAAGCAGGAUCAAGAACAGGAAGUGGAAUCAAUCUCUUGCUUUGAUACUGAUCUUGCGUCCCUGGGUGGGUUCUGCCCCAGGCAGAGCAGCCUAGGCCUCCUGGACUUAAUAUUCUAAUUCCUGCUGCUGAGACAGCUCUAUGGACUUGAAACAGAACUCCUAGUUCUAGAUUAUCAUCUCUGCCUAGGGGACAGCCGUGUUCUGGUUUAACUUAACUUUUUUCUGAUGUUUAAGACACAUGAUCUAAAAUUUUAAAUGCUUGGGCCACUUAUAUCCAUGUUUCCAGAGAAGAAUGAACAUGCAAUAUCUAUUACUUUUCUGGCCUCUCAACGAGCAAUCCAGUCAAAAACAUCAAGGUCAGAAUGUUUUUCAAAUAACCCACAUCCCUGAUCCAAUCCCACUACACAUUUAUAAAAAUUUCUUCAAGAAAAUCAAACUAUCCAGCCAUAGAUUCGAAUGUAUUCUCUGAAACACCUGAGAGUCUCCGUUCUCACUGACACGUCGCAGAAAAUUUUACAUUUUUCCCCCUCUUUGAUAACCUCCUGGCUUUCUGCUGUUCCAUCGCCAGCUGGAUCAUAGUCCACUAACGGUGGUGGGUUCCAAAGAGACAGAAGGCUGUUUUCAAUCCAUUUGUUACUUUAAUGUCAAAGAAUCGCCCCAUAGGCCUUGUUAAAACCUCCCCUCAUCUAGAAAGAAAUGGAGGCACUAAGAUACUUGAGCAGCGACGUGGUAAUAUCACCAUCCGUCAGAGCUGAAAUAAUGGAGUGGAAGGAAAGCUAAGAGGGCUGUCGUGGGAAGCAUAUGACCAGCCCAGAAUGAACCUGCAAGAGCUGUUAGCAUGAGCUACCACACUGUUUAACUCUUGUGUUAUCAGACAUAAAAACAUCUUGCACACUUAUUCUCAAACUUUAGUUAGAAAAAUAUUGUGUGGGAGUUCUCCUCGUGGUUCAGUGGUUAACGAAUCCGACUAGGAACCGUGAGGUUGCAGGUUUGAUCCCUGGCCUUGCUCAGUGGGUUAAGGAUCCGGUGUUGCUGUGAGCUGUGGUGUAGGUCACAGACGUGGCUUGGAUCCCAUGUUGUUGUGGCUCUGGAGUAGGCCGGUGGCUACAGCUCCAAUUCGACCCCUAGCCUGGGAACCUCCAUGUGCCACGGGAAUGGCCCCAGAAAAGGCAAAAAAAAGACCAAAAGAAAAAAGAAAAAUCUUGUGUGCAGUCAAAACACUAGGAAAAAUAGAGUAAGAGGAGAAUAACUCAUGCACGAGUCUUAGAGAUUAUCCACUGCUCUUUAAAAAUGGGUCAGCUGGGAGUUCCCGUCAUGGCACAGUGAAAACAAGUCCAACUCGUACCCAUGAGGACGCCGGUUCGAACCCUGGCUUCACUAAGUGGCUCAGGAUCUGGUGUUGCCAUGAGCUGUGUGUGGUAUAGGUCACAGACACAGACGCAGCUUGGAUCCCACAUUGCUGUGGCUGUGGUGUAGGCCCGCAGCUGUAGCUCUGAUUCAGCCCCUCGCCUGGGAACUUCUGCAUGCUCUAGGUGCGGCCNAAAAAAAAAAAAAAAAAAAAAAAAAAAAAAAAAAAAGCAGGGUCGGCUAAAACCUGAAGAGAAGACGUAAUCAAGACACUUUUAAGUGACCUUAAUGUCAUAUGAAAUGUGAUUUGCCAGUAUUCUAUUCUAAUCUUGGCUCUGUCACUUAUUAGCUGCAUGAUACUAGGAAAUUUGCUGAACUUCUCCAAGCUUCAGUUCCCUCACCUGUAAAAUGGGUAUAACAAUAGUGCCUACCUUAUGAUGCUUUGUAAGAAUUAAAUGAGAUACGUGCAUAAAGUGAUAAGCACAUAGUAAACCUCUGAUAAGUGAUAGACAUCACCAUUAUUAGUUGGGAUGAGAAUUUUAGUAUGAGGCACCUAGGGAGAAAUGUCAACCCAGACUCCUCUGUGUCUCAGUCUCUUUCCCUAUCUCUCUUUCACAGGUGUGUUCUAUAACCACAGAAUAUAGAGUCAGGAAAUCUGGCAUUC